ACUGUUGUAAAGAAAAAAAUCUCGAAACCUCCAGCAGUCCUGACGCUCCACCCGUCGAAGGAAAGGCGGCGGCCACCAUGGCGAUGCCGGCGGCGACGGACAGGCAGCUCCUGCGGCUCGACAGCUAGGAGGCUCGUGGCCGCGACGGCCCUCGCCUUCAACCAUAACCGGCCCAGCACACCAGGAGGCGACCGCACCUGUAGCCGACACACCUCUCUCUUGUUUUCCCACAGAUCUGGCCAGCGCUGGCAGCGGUGCUUCGCAGGCCCGCGCACGCCGGCGCACGCCGGUAGCGGCGGCGGAGCACCGGCUCGCGCACGUAGCUGGGGCUGCAGUGCGCCGGCCCUCGCGCACCUUAGAUGGCCGCGACUCCCCAUCUCCUCACCUACCGUUGCGCCGGCCUCCAUCGCCGACUUCCACGUGACUGACUUCACCCUUGCCCCACCCACGCCCCGGCCGCCGCCGCCGCGUGGUCCACCUCCUGCGCCUCUCCUCCGGCAAUCCGCUCAAGUCAGAUCUCCGUUGCUGGCGACCUUCCUCCCCCCCCCCCCCCCCUCCCCCCCUCCACUGCGACGACGCCCUCCUCACCGCAAGAAGGGCGUCGUCCGCACUUCUGUGCCGACAAGCCCGCGGCGGGCACCGCCCUGCACACGCUCCCCUCAUUGCUAACCGCUAUGCUCCUCAAUUAGGAGGUCAAACUGAUCAAUGGAUUAUUUGCUCCUCCUCUCUUCCUGCUAGGGUGAGUUGAUUGCGCAUAUUUAGUGUUCUCCUUCUUGCUAGGUGCUAAUUCCUUUUCCGUUGCCGCUCCAAUUCAAUGCUGCGGCGUGGUUAUUAGCCUUUUACGGAAGGAAUCUUAAGGCUGCACUACUAUAUAGGUUUUCAGCAUAUUUUCCUUUGAUAUGGACUAUUGGAAUAUAACCGACCAAAUGGAAUAUGGUGAAGUUGGUGCACUUUAUCCUUCUCAUCGCAGAUGAUAAAGUACAUAAGUUUCCCCCUCUCAUCUUUUCAUUACUUUGGAAGCAGUUACAGAUUAUUAUUUUGUUAUAUGCUAUUUAAUUUAGUGUAGAACAGAGUCAACUUCGAACAAUUUUAAACUAUUUAUGAAUCUUUUUUUAAAGAAUGAUGCCAGUAAUCAAAGCAAUGCUACGUAGAAACCAACAACCAACAAUUUCUGUAAACUAUGAGUUUUGUUUUCUUAUUGUCACAUCUUAUUCUCACUUGGUAUGUGCAGCUUAAGUUGCAACGUGACUUAUCAUAUCGACAACACUGGUUGUGGUUUAUGACAUGAAGUAAGCAAGAGCAUCACUUAUUGUAAUUGAGAAGAUACAAAAAUUAGACUACAUCCAUUUUUAUCUCUUCUUCAUUAUAAAAGUGCAAUUUCAACCUAGAAUACCUUUUUUUGUCGUAUUUGCAACAAGGCAAGCUAAUUUAUGAUUGAUUCCUCUUUUUACUAUAAAUUCGGAUAGCUAUUCUUAGCAGAUAUCAUGUGUAAAUAUUAAUACAACUGCAAGUGAUAGAACUCCUAACCAGUAACUCUUAUGUUUCGUUGUAAUAUUGGGUUACAUUUGUACUCCUUAAUGCUUGUACUACAUCCUCUAAUUGGAUCCUCAAUACUUAGGCUGCAA
This is a long non-coding RNA of Panicum virgatum (switchgrass), 1625 nucleotides long. RefSeq lists it as uncharacterized. Lineage: Eukaryota; Viridiplantae; Streptophyta; Magnoliopsida; Poales; Poaceae. The record is from RefSeq and is a predicted model, not a curated record. The transcript has 2 exons.